UGGGGAAUAUUGCACAAUGGGCGAAAGCCUGAUGCAGCGACGCCGCGUGAGGGAUGAAGGCCUUCGGGUUGUAAACCUCUUUCAGCAGGGAAGAAGCAGCCGGGUUUUCUUGGUUGUGACGGUACCUGCAGAAGAAGCACCGGCUAACUACGUGCCAGCAGCCGCGGUAAUACGUAGGGUGCAAGCGUUGUCCGGAAUUAUUGGGCGUAAAGAGCUUGUAGGCGGUUUGUCGCGUCUGCUGUGAAAUUUCGGGGCUCAACCCCGAACUUGCAGUGGGUACGGGCAGACUAGAGUGUGGUAGGGGAGACUGGAAUUCCUGGUGUAGCGGUGAAAUGCGCAGAUAUCAGGAGGAACACCGAUGGCGAAGGCAGGUCUCUGGGCCACUACUGACGCUGAGAAGCGAAAGCAUGGGGAGCGAACAG
This 422-nucleotide ribosomal RNA is filed under the name uncultured bacterium. RNAcentral describes it as "bacterial SSU rRNA". It matches the Rfam family "Bacterial small subunit ribosomal RNA", at positions 355 to 775 of the family's 1533-position model. The record is from RNAcentral.